This 381-nucleotide long non-coding RNA is filed under the name Lathyrus oleraceus (garden pea). Its description in RNAcentral is "Pisum sativum (pea) long non-coding RNA (PSAT_LNC005518)". The record is from RNAcentral. Lineage: Eukaryota; Viridiplantae; Streptophyta; Magnoliopsida; Fabales; Fabaceae.
UUCAACGUCAAGUAUCAGUUUCAUAAUCAAAUUCAAAACGCUUAAAAUUAUGAUUAGUAUUUUGCGCCACGAGCCUUAAGUGGUGGAGAAUGAGUCAGAAUGAAUACAAAAUAAAAUAAAUAAACAAGAAAUGUGUUGAAUAGAAAAAACAAAAAAGAAAAGAAACACAACAACAACAACAUGAUGCUUUAAUAUAUAUAUUGUUCAUCUUCAUCUUUAUCAUAAAACAAAAAAAAACAAAAAACACUCCAAAUUCUCACUAUAAAUUGAAGCUCAACAAAAACCAACAUGAGAAAUAUAAAUCCAGUAAAACUAAACAUAAACAACACAUCUAACAACAAAGAAAUAAACCCAAAUGUGAACCGUACCGAAAACGAAAAC